AAGAUGAAAAGCACUUUGGAAAGAGAGGUAAAAAGCACGUGAAAUUGUUGAAAGGGAAGCGCUUGCGACCAGACCUGCCCGUGGGCGAUCAACCCCCGUUCUCGGUGGUGCACUCGUCGGCGAGCAGGCCAGCAUCGGUUUGGGCGGUCGGACAAAGGCCUUGGGAAUGUAGCUCCCCUCGGGGAGUCCUUAUAGCCCUCGGUGCAAUGCGGCCAGCCCGGAUCRAGGACCGCGCUUCGGCUAGGAUGCUGGCGUAAUAGUUGCAAGCGACCCGUCUUGAAACACGGACCAAGGAGUCUAACAUCUAUGCGAGUGUUUGGGUGUCAAACCCAUGCGCGCAAUGAAAGUGAACGGAGGUGAGAACCCGUUAGGGUGCAUCAUCGACCGAUCCUGAUGUCUUCGGAUGGAUUUGAGUACGAGCAUAAAUGUUGGGACCCGAAAGAUGGUGAACUAUGCCUGAAUAGGGUGAAGCCAGAGAAA
Molecule: ribosomal RNA, 480 nt
Filed under: Neoprotoparmelia capitata
Lineage: Eukaryota; Fungi; Ascomycota; Lecanoromycetes; Lecanorales; Parmeliaceae
Description: partial 28S ribosomal RNA
Rfam family: Eukaryotic large subunit ribosomal RNA
Source: RNAcentral